CCCUCUGUCCCUCCCCUCUGUCCCUCCCCUCUGUCCCUCACUUCCUUUCCCUGAACUCCAAUUAAAAAUCAAGUUGUGAUUGAGCCUCUAACUACUGAACAAAAUGGAGAGACUUAAAUUGCUCCUUGCAUCUAUUAUUAUCUCCACUAAAGAGAAACAAACUCCCCGGCCGUGAUCUAUGGACAUUAAUUAACUCCGCUGUCACCCCUGGCCUCCCCUCUCUCCCCAAAAUUAAAUAUCGGGUUGUUAAUUUGACAGGUUUAGUUUAUCUUCUCUUUCCUCAGUCUCCGUCUCAGUAGAAAGCAGGCCAGACGUCUGCAGCUGCUCGCUUUCAUUCAUCUCCGCAGUCAUUUAUAUUUCCAUGGUUGACAACAACAUUUGAAAUCCCUCGUCUUUACAAUGAAACGUCGUCUACGUUGAGGUGGAACCAUGGAGAGAAAUUGUCCUCAAAAUUAACGUGUUAAUAAGGAACCGUACAGUCUUGUCAAUGAAGUAACACCUCUGCUGUGGUGAAAAACAGCAGCAGAGGUGUUAAUUCAAUGUUAAUUCAUUAAGUGAAUGCGAAUAGCAGUGAAUAACAACUUUCAGGACACAUUUUCCAAACGGCAAAAAAUAACAGACAGAGAUAUUAAUCAAGGAAGCGUUUCCUGCUGCUAUCUUAUCUGCUUCACACUCAAUCUCAGCCCUUUGACACCUCCGGCGCGGCCCGGGGUCGGGAUACGUUUUUCUCAUCUUGUUUUAGCAAAAGAAAAGCUGCUUUAUCGAUGAAACCGAGUGGACCCCUCGCUACGCCAAGCCAGGUUUUCACUCGCUGCAUUAAAGAGAGAAGAAUCACCAGUAUACAUUCGCUAAACCUUCAGGAGCUAGCUUAGCAUAGCUAGCUCCUGGUCCGUCUCAGCGUGCUGCUGGUUGCUCUGGAUAAGGGAAACGAUGGAGUCCAUCCACAUCGUUGUCAGACAUUAUUCGACCCCCCCUUUGGCCUUACUGGGCUCGAUUAACUCACGCACGCAGUACGUGCUGAACAUGUGAACAUGGGGACGAUUUUCGAACAAACUCCAUCCGUUCUCUCUCUUUUUAUCGUCGAAAAUAACACAACGUGCUACAAAGAUGCUGACGCUUCACUUGAUAAAACUGACAGGUUUCAUCUCGAGCCCCAACUCGCCUUGUUGAGAUCUGCUCUUCCUGCACAAAUGAAAAUCCUUACAGUACAUUUCUGUUUGCUGACAUUUUCCUCAGACUCCCUCUGAAAGUGAACACAGACACUCUUAUUCUGAGGUGUCAUCACCAAAAUCUAAUUUCAUUUGCCCCAAACUCCAAAGCUUCUUUAAUAUUCUUAUUUAUCUUCUGUUUUUUUAACAUGUUGAAGGAUGUCACGACUUUAAUUUUAUUAUCUAUAUUAGGUUUCUUUUCAUACGAAACAAGAGUACUACCCUGGGAUAUAUAUUUUUUCCAUUAUGACAUUCUUAACAUUUGGACUUUUUUGUCCAUGACAUUUUUCGACAUAACAUGUUUUCAAAACAUUUAAAAAAUAUAUGUGUAUUUUACCAAUAACAACCUAUACUAGUUUAAUUAACCACAUAGUUAAAACUUAUAACUAUGUUUUUAGAUACCUUUUUUGUCAUUGACCCAUACAUUUUAAAAGUUUCUCAGCAAAAAUACAAAAAAACGUUGAGACGCAUGACCAGAUCAUGUUCACUCAGAUUUUUUUUUACCAGUAUAGACCCAGUAAUCAAUGUUUGUUGGAGUAUUGUGGCUUGUGGCCCCUUAAGGAACGCGAGGCAGAGCUGCACUCAGCCAGCCAACGCGUCCUCACUGAAGCAAGUUAUGAGUUUUUGGCUGCAAUCGAUUAGAAUGAUGGAAAAGGUGGAUGAAAUGGGUCUAAGUUCUGAAAUGUGUCUCCUAAAAGGCACAGGGUGACCUCUACACACGGGCACCAGGUUUUCCUCGUGGCAGUAAACCUCCAUCUGUACCAACGUCCCGCGGGCGAUUGUUUGCGACGCCGCUGCCGAUCACCUCGGUCGCCCGCUCCCUCUCACUGUGACGUGAAUGAAACAGAAUCUCAUUCCUUCACGGGCCGGAUGCCAGCGGAUAGCCACCAAGUCGGUUCAGAGGCUGUGACAAAGCUUCUUGUUGCACAUCGGCUCGCAAAAAGGUCAAAAUUAUUUUAUGGCCAAUACCUUGACCGACUGUGAUCGCAUUAAAGAAGUCUCAUAUCAGCAGAGGUCGAAGCCUCAAACUCAUUUAAGCAUAAAAUCUGUUCAUCAGCACUUUAUGAUUCAAUUUAAAUAUAAAUAUGCUCCUUCAUUUGAUACCUUUCCACAAAUAGAGACAUAAACCAAUCAAGUUGACCUGAAACAGGACAACAGACCGUUCAUGUCUUUAAACUGAACAUAAUACAAUGUAGAUAAACCCGUCAGAGCAUCUGCUUUCCUUUCUUGGGUUAGGAUGGGGUUUGAAGGAUGGGGGUUAAAGGAUGUGGGUUGAAGGAUGGUGUUGAGGGAUGGGGACUGAAGGAUGGCAUUGAGGGAUGGGGUUGAAGGAUGGGGGUUGAAGGAUGGGGGUUGAAGGAUGGGGGUUGAAGGAUGGGGUUGACGGAUGGGGUUGAAGGAUGGGGGUUGAAGGAUGGGGGUUGAAAGAUGGGGUUGAAGGAUGGGGUUGAAGGAUGGGGGUUGAAGGAUGUGGGUUGAAGGAUGGAAGUUGAAGGAUGGGGUUGAGGGAUGGGGGUUGAAGGAUGGAAGUUGAAGGAUGGGCUUGAGGGAUGGGGGUUGAAGGAUGGGGUUGAAGGAUGAGGGGUGAAGGAUGGAGGUUGAAGGAUGGGGUUGAAGGAUGGGGUUGAGGGAUAGGGUUGAAGGAUGGGUUGAAGGAUGGGGUUGACGGAUGGGGUUGAGGGAUAGGGGUUGAAGGAUGGGGUUGAAGGAUGGGGUUGAGGGAUAGGGGUUGAAGGAUGGGGUUGAAGGAUGGGGGUUGAAGGAUGGGGUUGAGGGAUGGGGGUUGAAGGAUGGGGUUGAAGGAUCGGAUAGGACGAGGAUUUAAGCGAGCUUUCGUUCAGAGAACGGUGGACGUUCAAUAUAAGUAGCUGGUGUUAAGCAUAUUAAAGAUCCAUAUGAGGUCAAACUCAUGGAUGAGAUGAGACUCAAAGACUCACUCAUCGGUCAAAAGUUAUAAUCAAAGUGAUUUUUAUAGGGUUCUGCGAUGAAAGCUUGGAAUUUAAACACCCACACACGUUAUGCCUCAGAGCAGUGAUGAGAGCAAAUCAAUGUUGGAACAAAACACCUCUCAAACGCACAGAAAACCACAGCUUGAGAACCUGGAUCUCAAAUUCAAUCAUCAAAGGAAAUGGAGCUUGACAACAUAAUGGAAGGAACCGAAGGUGGUAAUUAUACAGUGAAAUUAUUUAAUGUGCCUCUCUAAGAAUCAUAUGCAGCAUUUGAGAGCACGGAUCCAAAAUGAUUGAAUUACCAACUUAUAAUUUCUCUGAUGAGUCAGUGGACGGAGGAAACUCUGUGCUGAAGAAGAAUAAUUUGAUGAUUUAAAGUAAUUGUCGGUUGAGCUCGUCAUCAUAAUUGCAGCCGUUGAGGAUUACAAGGACAAUAGUGUAGAUUAUGACACAUUGAUAAUGACAAAGAUUACCGUCAUCACGUCCUAUACAACAUUAAAAAAAGUGACACAAGAGAGCUAAAAUGAAAGAAUGAAGCGGUUCCUAUUGUCGGCGUGUGUGUGUGUGUGUAACUACAUCGGUUUAGAAAAAGUUACUCCUCAUUUGUUGAAGACCUUCAACGCGUUAAAUGGAUAAACGUCCGUCUUCAAGUUAUCUCAAUUACUGAGGUUUAGGAAACAGAAAGAAAGCCACCCUUGAUGUUCACGUAACACCUUCAAUGAAGCAAGUGUUGUUGCACGAGGGUGACAGGAAGUGAACCCCCAACAACUGUUCUGCUCCGUGUCUGAACCUCCAGUCCGAUCCGUCAGAAUAUGAAAACCGCCAAAGAGCAAAAACUAAAUGAAAAUGAUUGAUUCCUCUUUUUUUAAAUUACUUAAAUCAAUUUCUAUUGAACGACUUAAAACCCACGCGGGCUGACUCAGAGCUGUAGACAUUGAGGCAUAAUGAAUAAUAAAUGACAGGACGAGGGGAUAAUAAUAAAAUGUCAAAGGGAGAAUUCCUGUUGAUUCAGUGAGACCCGGCAGGAAGAAGAAAGGAGGCAGAAUGCGUUUAAAGUUAAUGCAAACGGUGUUGCACAGGAACAGAAGAACAGAGAAUCGCAAGAGAUGAAGGCAGAGAAGAACGACAAGUAAUGAAAAAGAAAGGGAAGGGAUUCACGCAGACGGACGCACCAGGAGAAAAGGCCAGAAGAAGAGAGGCGGCGAAGGCGCCUCGAGCCGGUGAUGCGGCGUCGAGCGCGAGUUCAAUCUCUGGCUGGCUGAGCGGCCGUGGGCCUCCUUCAAGCCGCCGCCGCCGCCUCGUCUCAGGCUCCACGCGCAGCUUUUGCUGGUGAAUAAACGGACACGCUGUCUUUUUUCUCACCGACAUCAACACCCAUGUAAAAAACACACGCACAGAAAGGCCGAUAAACAAACGUCCCGCGACUGUCCCCCGGCAAUGGAAAUGUCUUUUGACCUGGACGUUUGAUUCUGCGCACGGUGAGUCCGCUACUAGAAGCUUAUGAGGUAUAUUUGUGUCUUUACUUUAUUGCAUAAUAAAGACAAAUAUACCUUCAUAGUCUGUGGGCGCCGUCCCUCCAUCUUCUGCUUGAGCGGGUGGGAAAAUGUCUCCAAUGCUCUUCGUUUCUCCCGCUUCCUCUCCCCUCCCCCGUCCACCCUCCUUUAUCCCUCAUUCCCACCGAGGUGCUCCUUCCAUCUCACCCUCUCCCGACAAUAUGCUGGCUCAUCAGCAUUUAAAGGAGCAGGAACUCCAAACUGUGGAGGUGCUGUUUUAAAUGAUCCUUGUGGUAUUUUGACCAAAGCACGAAUGUCACUCAGGCUCCGUUGUUUACUUCUCUUGUGUUUUUUUUUCUCACUUUUAACAAUUUCAUCCGUCCCUUCCUUCCUCCAUCCAUAUUCAGGCAUCAUUUGAUUAAUAAACUGAUAUCAAAUAAAAGACAUGUUUUGGGAAGUAUAACGUUUGGUGGUCUGUGACAAUGACGGUUUGAUCCACUCAUGCAGAAAAGCGAAUGCGCCUGCAGGGAAAAGUAAGAGAGGACAGAAAGAAAGAGGAACAGAACACAUGAAAAAGAGGAGAUGAGAUGAGAUGAGAAUGAAACAGAAGAGAGCAACAGGAGCAUCGCUAACAGAUAUUAUCUGUAUACAUUAUGAAACUCUUUUUAUUCUUUUACCUCACACAGAAAAAAAGACAACAUUACUGUUGACGUUGUAACACACACACACACACACACACACACACACACACACACGCACCGCACAUGCACGCGCGUUCAGGUGUUUUCAACCUGCCUUUUAUUCUUUUGCAGGCAGAAAUAGUAAAAGCUUUUACAUUUCAAUCUGAUUGAAGGUCAAAAUCACACAACCACCCCCCCCCCCCCAAAAAAAAAUAUCCCAUUUCUCUUUUUGAUGUUUGUACAGAAGCUCACAGCAAUAAUUUAAAAAAGUAUAAAUACAUGCAAAGGCGUCCCUGUGUGAGUGUGACGGCCCUGUUUAAGAGAUGACAGCUGCCGCUGUGCACCGGUCUGCUGCGUAAAAGUUGUGACUUUCAAAUGUUAUGUGGUGACUUCUGUUCAUCCAAAGCUAAAUAAAUGAAUACAUUGAAGUACUAGCCCUCUAAAAUGCAGCAUAUUAACAAGGGUCAAUGUAAUUUAACAUGAAAAUGAUAAUUGACCUAUGUUGAAGUCUCUCAGUAACAAUAAUCCUAAAUGAGAUAAAAGCUUUAAAUGUUUUAUAUUCUGGCAGAGUGGCUCCUUAAUGGAAAUGUUUUAUGUCAUUGAUGAGCGCUGACUGAGAUGCAUAUCCGAUGGAUAUCACAAUAACGCGCCUGUGAGAGCGCAACCAGCUGUCUCAGCAGAAGACACAUUUGAGAAAGCAGAUGAGAUGUCUCCUGAGUGACCCAAGACUUCACUGCUGAAGGGAUCAGCGGUAAUAAAGCUUUCAGCCACGUCUUCGUUAUCACGUUGCGACCCGAAGCUGAUGUUGGACUUGUUAGUUGUUGGACGUCCCCGAACAAAGACGCCCGACCACCAGGCAUCUGAGAUUCCGUCCUCGUCGUUGGGUUUUCAUUUGGCAAGGUGUGGGACUAUUGGAGUGGUAUUUUCGUCAUUUCUCUGUUUUGUUGUGAAUGCACACGUGUGUGUACGUUGUGAAGAGGCUCUUUUUGGAAACAGCUUGAUUGUCGGCUGUAAUUAUGUGUGCGAAUGUGCAUGUUAAGCACAGCUGCAGCAUUUACCAAAAGUCUAUUAAACAGCCAGAUGGCCGCUGCUUGUAACGCCCACAAAACAUUUUCCUGCCACGCGCAACGUAAAAAAUCAAACACACCACAGUUUUCGCACACACUCUCGACUCUGUGAAGUGUGUGUUUGGUGUUUACCGGAGGUCAACGAUCCACCCGCAGCAGCAAUUUACAUCUCUUAUCAGUUUGGCUUCUUUCUUUCUUGUUUGAAUUUGCUCCUCAGGGUUUUAUUCUCACUUUUUUGUCACUGACUCACUGAAAGGCGCCGACACACAAACCCACACACACACGCACACACAACGAGGUAGCGAAGCUGCACCCUGUGCACCACGCACGCUUUUAAAAUGACCAGCAGAACAUAACAAAUGGUAUUUCAUCACGUGUCCGGCACCACCUACUGCGCAUUUUAUCAUUAAGGAUUAUUAAGGGCGACCUGAAUAACGUUCAGAUGUUCUUGGCAAAUCUCGUAUCACUAAACAGGUCAAAUCAAACAGAAACAGGACAACAAUGAUCAUAUUCCUCCAAGCCCACUGCGUGUUUCGGUGCACUAUCCAGAUAACGGUGUCUUCGGAGGGGGUGGGGGGUGCGGGAUUCGUCACUUUCUUUGGCCGAUUUGGAACGACACCUUGAGCAGUGAGAUAUUUGGAUUGAAAAUUGGAAACAUGACCUUUUGAAGGGGUCUGAAUGCUGAAUCACAACGUGUGAUAUUUGUUUCUUCGCCGGCACGCGGCCGAGUGAAUCUUGAUGAAUAUCAUUUCUUCGGGGGGGUUUUUAAGGUCAUGAAUUGUUUGAGUGUUACUUCAUCUGUCAGACAGGACUGUGGCGCCUCGGACGAUCGGAUCAGCGGGAACGUUCCGCGCAUGCCGCGAUGCGUCGAUUGGCCCCCGAUGCUCUCAAAUCUCUGUGAAAGGCGCCUCCUUCGAGCCGUCUCUGAGGCACAGACGCUCACCUGCUGCAUGCAUCCAAAACCAGAGAGCGCCUCGCUGAGCCUCGCCGAGCCUCGCCGAGCCUCGCCGUUCAGCGCUUUUGUAGCAAUACACAUUUGGCGCCCCGGACGGCGGUAAUUGACAACAGACCAAAGCACAUUUUCAGCCUAAAUGUGCUAAAAAAAAAAAAAGGCACUUUUCCAAAUGGAGCUCUGUAUUGGUGUAAACACUUUUACCUCACGUGUACCGGCAGGUAUAAACAUGCACACAAAACACACACCAACACACUUAUUUUACACCAUAAACUCUCCCAGAAAAUCGCGCACUGUAAAUACGUCAUACGUAAAAACACUUCACUGCAGAGAGGAAUUGCCCAGAUUUGUAGAGAAGAACAUUUUUAUUAUCUGACAUUUUUGUUGUGAUAUUUCAGUGUGAAUACUCCCCGGUGACCUCUUCUGACCUUUCCCAACAAUGCUGGAAGUUCUUCUGAUGCAGGUGAUACGUUACGAUCCUCCAGUAUUUGCUCCGUGAGUGCUGUCUGAAUAAGUUCUGUUCAUCCAGUGAGAUCUAGGUGGACUUCAGGCCACAUGGAGCUGAAGACAACAAUACAAGAAGUUACCACAUUGAUGAUUCCAAAGCACCCUUUGUGACUACGCAGCUUUAAAUCUGCUAAUAAAAAGCGGUGUCAUUUUAAUCUAAAACAAAGUCGGGUAUAUCUGUCAGCGGAGCGAGUCAACGCAAAACAAAACUAGGUUAGUCUUUGAGAAGUAAAGUGAGAAGCAGAGAGUCAGACGAAGUUAUCUCUAAGCUUUACGCCUGUUGACUUGACUGAUCUCUCGGUUAUGGAGCUGGCAGAUUGAGGUCUGUGUGUGUGUGAAUGUUCUCAACACAUCUCUGAGUCAUGGAUAUCGUAUGAGUCCUGAAGCUAUGGAGAGAUCAGAGACAGAUGGGCGGCACGCAGUCAGCACCGGCCCCGACAACACCUCGGCUUCUGUAUACUGUUGAUUCUGGCGACGAUCAAUCCGAAGAACCACGGGACGCUUUUUCCCGCCAGCUAAAAACCUGCCGCCGCUCUUCUUCAGACGGAAACACACGCUGCAAGUGUCAGACGCACACAAUCCAAAAAUAAAAUCUACCGCGUUAAGCUCAGAAACUGCAAUGUUACAAAUUCUAACGGUGUUUCUAUCUCUGAUGGAAGCUUAUGACUUACGGCUGAAAUGCACAUGUUGCCUGUAGUAAUAAUAGUGGUCUGAAUAGUCCUUUCAGUAGAUGAGUGUCCCAGCCGCAGACUGUGCAUAAGACGUGUUCAGACUGUGCAUAAGACGUGUUCAGACUGUGUAUAAGACGUGUUCAGUCUGUGUUUAAGACGUGUUCAGACUGUGUAUAAGACGUGUUCAGACUGUGUAUAAGACGUGUUCAGACUGUGUAUAAGACGUGUUCAGUCUGUGUUUAAGACGUGUUCAGACUGUGUAUAAGACGUGUUCAGACUGUGUUUAAGACGUGUUCAGUCUGUGUAUCAGACGUGUUCUGUCAUGAGUCAUCAAGUUACCCUACUUCUUUUAUAGCGUCAGCGACCUGUCAAUCACAGUCAAGCCCCGCCCUAAAGCAUACCCAAGAUUAUGGGCUAUUUGACUACUUUAUGCUGUAUUGAAGAAAACUGGAAACUUAACUGAGGUAAUAAACUGAGAGGGAAGUAGAGUAAUUUCUCACAUACAUGCAGAAUACAACAUGGAUGCAUCAUGAGGAUUAUUAAAGAUUAUAAAAGGCUGUUUUAAAGAGUUGAGGAUAACACAGGCAGUCAAUGUCGAGAGACAAGGGGAUGAAACAAUAAUAGAAAACUUUGUAAAGAAAGUUACAGAUUAAUUAAUAGUGUUUUGGGCUCAACUAAGCAAAGCUAAUGGAAACGAUUCCCGUCUUCUUUCUCUCCCACUCUCUUUCGUCUCUCUCCACCCUCUCGCCUCCCUUCUCCCUCCCCCCCUCCUUCCCCUUAUCCUCGUGUCUUCACACAUUCACUUUAAUACGUUCCCCAUCUCUCCCCGUCCAUUUCCUCUCAGCCUUUCUGUCUCCCCCUUUGGCCUCCUUCCCUCCCCUCUUUCCUUCCUUCUCUCCCAUUAGAAACAUAUUGGAGUGACACGGACCAUGAAAUUAAAAUAUUAGUGAGUGACAUCACUGAAUAUUUCCAAUUCUCUGGAAAGAAGGAAUACAUAAAAUAUCGUAUUAAGUGUCGUUAUAGGAAAAGGUCAGCUAGAGGGCAAUGAAAGACUUAAGUAAGAUCAAUAAAGUGUUACAACCUCUUUUUAAUGAAGAAUCUCUGCAAUUGUAGAACUGAACGAUCUUUUAACAAACAUUUUUUCUUUUGAAACAGAACUUUCUUAUUUGUCCACAAGUAUCCAUAUUUCAAGGCUCAACACAUGAAACAACUAAUCUUUGUAGUACUUAUCAGUAAUUCACUUUUACUCCAUUUUCUUCUCAUGUAUUUUAAAGUACCUUUUUUCUACAAUCUGAUGCAAUCCUCAUAGGUUUUUUUCUGCCGUUUUUGUUUGUCUUCUUUGUUUCAUAUUUCCCCUCCAGUGACUAAAAGGGUGUCUUCACCUCAGAGGUAAUUUAAAAAAAUCAAAAACCGUAAAAACGAGUUAAUUAGAUGCGCCUGUGUUCCAUGGGGGUCUUUAAAUCUACAAGUGACCACACCCAAAGGAAACCCUGGACCUCUGCUUCAGCUCAAAGAACUGGUUUCUUUUAUUCAAGUGUGUGUGUGUGUGUGUGUGUGUGUGUCUUUACAGGGUUUUCAUGUGUGGUUGCUUUAGAUGUACGACCAUAAAAAAGGUCAGGACUUCCAUCAAGUUUAUCAUCCAUUCAUUUCCCGGCUGUAAGAUCACCAAAGCGAAUGAAAGAGGCGCAAACAGGAAAUACCGAAGAAAGAAAUACGGGCGGGAAAGAGAAGGAAAUAAAAACAUCAGGAGUGAGAUGGACUUCUCAAGGUCUUCUCUGCAGACUCCCCCCUCAGGGGGAACCGGCCAACACAUGGAAAAUGUUUCUCUGCCUCUCUCCUCCGAGAUAAACCUCCAUCUUCGCCGGUCCUCCUUCACGGACUGAAGUUCUGCUCGAGGCCGUCGCUUAUUAAGCGCAGGCUCGUUGAGUGGAACCAAUCCCGAGACUGAUAUUUGAAUAAUGAUAAUAGCAAAGACCCUUUUUCUACAGAGCACCUUUCACGAAGAAUAAAAAUAUUGGGAGAUCAGGCAGACAAAGUCGAGGGACCAAUUUGAUUCCAACAACGAUUCCACAAAUUCAAUGGCAAUCCGGCUAGGAGUUAAUAAAAUGUUAAGUCCACUCUAAAAGACUAAUAUCACUGUAUCUGUGCAGAAUUGUCAUUGUAGAAAAAUCAGUUUUGAACAUUUGUGAAAUAUUAUUUUAUGUGAAGCCCUCUGCUGUCUUUGGUUGUUUUAAAGGCCAUUGAAGGGGAUUUAGGGAUCAUAUCAUGUUAUUGACUAUAUUUCUAUAUUUCCAAUAGUGCACAAUCACCUGACUCUUUGGUGUUUUCAUCCUCUUCCAUUGAGCCAUAUUGAUAGAUUACAGCGCCAUGUUCCUACGGCAGCCCAGAAUGGACAAACAAAACAUUUUACUUCAUACUUUGAAUGGGUGCAGUUCUCUGAGAGUAAGGGUCGGAUUCUACGUGAAUUAUCACCAAUUGGAUAUUUAAGCGUUCAAUCCAAAAUAGAGUUGAGUUUUUGUAACAUGAACCUUUCAGAAUAAAAGGUGUAACCUUUGAAAUGGUGGUUAGCACUGCCAGUGUCUCAGAAGAUGAAUGACCUUUUGAAAGAGCCAGGUAUUCUAUCAUCAUCAUCAUCAACCAAUCCAGCUCUUGUUAGCGAAUUACACACCAAAAAAUUGCUCUUUCAGUUGGCCGGAGACGAGCAAAGGGCCUCUGCUCUGCUAAUUAUGUGACGGGAGACAAGAACCCAGCGGCGGUGAAAGUGAAAAUUGGCUCCGCGCUGCGCGUCAGACCUCCGGCUGGGUCUAAUUCAUGGUCGGGCGAUAUCGGUGAUGAGAUGGUUACAUAUGUUACACGGAGCCACGUUCCUUUGGACUAUGCUUUGGACUUAAUUGUCAAGCUUAUAUCUUUCUACACCGAUGUAAAGUCAAAACUGGUAACUGCUUUUUAAUAGCGCUUCCAGUUCACUCAUUUUAGCAUUUUGUAAAGACAUUGUACACAAGAAAAACCUCUUGUACCUUCUGCGUUUAUGUGACAGACCUGAACAAUGAAUAUGUCCGGAUAAUUCAGUGACCACACCCAAAGGAAACCCUGGACCUCUGCUUCAGCUUAAAGGACUGGUUUCUUUUAUUCAAGUGUGUGUGUGUGUGUGUGUGUGUGUGUGUGUGUGGUCUUCAUGUGUGGUUGCUUUAGAUGUACGACCAUAAAAAAAGGUCAGGACUUCCAUCAAGUUUAUCAUCCAUUCCUUUCCCGGCUGUAAGAUCACCAAAGCGAAUGAAAGAGUCCAUCUCACCCGGAGUGAGAUGGACUUCUCGAGGUCUUCUCUGCAGACUCCCCCCUCAGGGGGAACCGGGCAACACAUGGAAAAUGUUUCUCUCCCUCUCUCCUCCGAGAUAAACCUCCAUCUUCGCCGGUCCUCCUUCACGGACUGAAGUUCUGCUCGAGGCCGGCGCUUAUUAAGCCGCAGGUUCGUUGAGUGGAACCAAUCCGAGACUGAUAUUUGAAUAAUGAUAAUAGCAAAGACCCUUUUUCUACAGAGCACCUUUCACGAAGAAUAAAAAUAUUGAAGUCGAGGGACCAAUUUGAUUCCAACAAAAAAAAUUUCCAUCUUCUGAGGACAACGAUUCCACAAAUUGACAAAUUGAAUGGCAAUCUGGCUAGGAGUUAAAGUGAAAAUUGGAAAUUAUUUUGGUCUUAAGUUAUUUUUCUAUUCCUUAAGUCAUUGUAUUGGUGUUCAUAUUUAGCCUAAUAGAGCCUUUUUGUUUUUACUGCAUUGUUCACAUCAACAUCUCCCUGUUUGUGAAACCCUUCUUUUAUGUCUUACUCCUUAACCCCCGUUUUUCCUCCCCGUGACUCUCCACCCCUUCUGCACAGUGUCCCUGCUCCUCCCUCCCUCCCUCCCUCUCCUCCCCCACUCACCGUUGUCUCAUUUAUUGUCCUUUUAACCCUGAUGGACGCCGUAUGUCGUCGACUCCAUACGUGGGCGGCGCUAUCUGCCUGGCGUCCAUGCGGCCAAUUAGAAAUGGCAGAUGAGUCGAUGAGUCUGUCCUAUGGAGACUGCGGUCGCCCCGGCAACUAUCGCCGCGGCCGACCUCGUCGGGAUACACGCCCCAGCCCAUCGUCUCCUCUCACAUUCAUCGGGGAUCCAGUUAAUGUCAAAGCAGCGCACGAUUGCUCCCGAUCCGCUCCUUCUGUUCAAGCACUCAGAAGUCAUGUCAAGUCCCACCCGCGCUGCGCCGGAGCCAUUGUGUGCAUAACUUCCCUCCAUUUAGUUAUUCCCUUUGUCCCAGCUGGUGAAUAAGCUCCCUUGAUGCAACCCGGACCUGCACCUGCCCUUCUUGUCUUUGUCUUCCUUGUACUCUACUCAAGUACUCUGUUUUGUUCCCCCCUAAUGUCUCCUCAUAAAGCGUGUUUCCCAAACCACUUAACCGACUUAAACUUUUCAUCUUCAGCUUCGAAGGUUGUUUGAGGCAAAUGCAUGCGUUUACAUGUCAACGUUCCCUUUGAGUAUAGCGAUACUCUUUGCACAUGCAUGCGUGCACAUGGAUGUGUGCACACGCGUGUUGCACCGGCUUCGACUCACGGCAUCCCCGAUUCUCUCACUACCACUCAUUAAGGCGGCUGUUCUCUGUGCGAUGCGCUGUGGCUGAUAGACAAUGAAAGGAUGACGUCCUAACAGCGAGACAAACAAAUAAAAAAGAAAAACCACCACUAUGCGCGUGCAACACGCGCUCUUUCAUAUAGUGUAACGCCGAUGAAUGUUGGCAAAGCACUGACAUCACGGUUGAAAGAAGAACCACAGCAUUCUGUCACUGUAGUAUGACGGACACGUUGGUCCGCCUUUGCUUCUGUGAGUCAUUGUACGUACGAAUUCAAAAGAGCUCUAAUCUAAUCAAUAGAGUCAUUUUUAUUAACAAGCUUCUUACAUCAGCCAGAUGAAAAACUCAUCUGGUUGCGAAAUGAAGUCUGAUUGAAUGGAAGUCUGUGAAGCGCGGCGGGUCCUAUUUCUGAAUCAAAGAAAUCAUAAAGCAGGGUACGCUUUUGGGCGGGUCCAGCGCGUGAUUGACAGGACGCCGCAGAAAA
Molecule: long non-coding RNA, 13609 nt
Organism: Gasterosteus aculeatus aculeatus (three-spined stickleback)
Lineage: Eukaryota; Metazoa; Chordata; Actinopteri; Perciformes; Gasterosteidae
Source: Ensembl